CUAAACAAACGAUGUUUAAGGCUUGCAGCACAUUUGUCUCGAUAUUCGUAUUCUUUCUUCAACUUAGAAAUAUAAAGGAAUAAUUCUAAAACAAUUUUGUUCAUUUCAAAUUGGCCGACGAUAAUUCGAAUGUAGACUGUCCACAACACUCAAUUUAGACUGAUUUCAAC
This is a long non-coding RNA of Centruroides sculpturatus (bark scorpion), 170 nucleotides long. RefSeq lists it as uncharacterized. NCBI's taxonomy places the organism in Eukaryota, Metazoa, Arthropoda, Arachnida, Scorpiones, Buthidae. The transcript is spliced from 3 exons. The record is from RefSeq and is a predicted model, not a curated record.